AGUGAACGCUGGCGGUAGGCCUAACACAUGCAAGUCGAACGGCAGCACAGUAAGAGCUUGCCCUUACGGGUGGCGAGUGGCGGACGGGUGAGGAAUACAUCGGAAUCUACUUUUUCGUGGGGGAUAACGUAGGGAAACUUACGCUAAUACCGCAUACGACCUACGGGUGAAAGCAGGGGAUUUUCGGACCUUUCGCGAUUGAAUGAGCCGAUGUCGGAUUAGCUAGUUGGCGGGGUAAAGGCCCACCAAGGCGACGAUCCGUAGCUGGUCUGAGAGGAUGAUCAGCCACACUGGAACUGAGACACGGUCCAGACUCCUACGGGAGGCAGCAGUGGGGAAUAUUGGACAAUGGGCGCAAGCCUGAUCCAGCCAUACCGCGUGGGUGAAGAAGGCCUUCGGGUUGUAAAGCCCUUUUGUUGGGAAAGAAAAGCAGCAGGUUAAUACCCCGCUGUUCUGACGGUACCCAAAGAAUAAGCACCGGCUAACUUCGUG
This 492-nucleotide ribosomal RNA is filed under the name uncultured bacterium. Its description in RNAcentral is "partial 16S ribosomal RNA". It matches the Rfam family "Bacterial small subunit ribosomal RNA", at positions 29 to 507 of the family's 1533-position model. The record is from RNAcentral.